GACGAACGCUGGCGGCGUGCCUAAUACAUGCAAGUCGAGCGCAGGAAACUGACGGAACUCUUCGGAGGGAAGGCAGCGGAAUGAGCGGCGGACGGGUGAGUAACACGUAAGGAACCUGCCUCAAGGAUUGGGAUAACUCCGAGAAAUCGGAGCUAAUACCGGAUAGUUCAUCGGACCGCAUGGGCCGCUGAUGAAAGGCGCUCCGGCGUCACCUUCAGAUGGCCUUGGGGUGCAUUAGCUAGUUGGUGGGGUAACGGCCCACCAAGGCGACGAUGCAUAGCCGACCUGAGAGGGUGAUCGGCCACACUGGGACUGAGACACGGCCCAGACUCCUACGGGAGGCAGCAGUAGGGAAUCUUCCACAAUGGACGAAAGUCUGAUGGAGCAACGCCGCGUGAGUGAUGAAGGUUUUCGGAUCGUAAAACUCUGUUGUAAGGGAAGAACACGUACGAGAGGGAAUGCUCGUACCUUGACGGUACCUUACGAGAAAGCCACGGCUAACUACGUGCCAGCAGCCGCCGUAA
Molecule: ribosomal RNA, 524 nt
Filed under: uncultured bacterium
Lineage: Bacteria
Description: partial 16S ribosomal RNA
Rfam family: Bacterial small subunit ribosomal RNA
Source: RNAcentral